RNAcentral lists this ribosomal RNA (614 nucleotides) under Rhodotorula sp. M15. RNAcentral's name for it is "eukaryotic LSU rRNA". It matches the Rfam family "Eukaryotic large subunit ribosomal RNA", at positions 38 to 667 of the family's 3401-position model. The record is from RNAcentral. Lineage: Eukaryota; Fungi; Basidiomycota; Microbotryomycetes; Sporidiobolales; Sporidiobolaceae.
GCAUAUCAAUAAGCGGAGGAAAAGAAACUAACAAGGAUUCCCCUAGUAGCGGCGAGCGAAGCGGGAAGAGCUCAAAUUUAUAAUCUGGCACCUUCGGUGUCCGAGUUGUAAUCUCUAGAAAUGUUUUCCGCGUUGGACCGCACACAAGUCUGUUGGAAUACAGCGGCAUAGUGGUGAGACCCCCCGUAUAUGGUGCGGACGCCCAGCGCUUUGUGAUACAUUUUCGAAGAGUCGAGUUGUUUGGGAAUGCAGCUCAAAUUGGGUGGUAAAUUCCAUCUAAAGCUAAAUAUUGGCGAGAGACCGAUAGCGAACAAGUACCGUGAGGGAAAGAUGAAAAGCACUUUGGAAAGAGAGUUAACAGUACGUGAAAUUGUUGGAAGGGAAACGCUUGAAGUCAGACUUGCUUGCCGAGCAAUCGGUUUGCAGGCCAGCAUCAGUUUUCCGGGAUGGAUAAUGGUAGAGAGAAGGUAGCAGUUUCGGCUGUGUUAUAGCUCUCUGCUGGAUACAUCUUGGGGGACUGAGGAACGCAGUGUGCCUUUGGCGGGGGUUUCGACCUCUUCACACUUAGGAUGCUGGUGGAAUGGCUUUAAACGACCCGUCUUGAAACACGGACC